UACGUAGGGUGCAAGCGUUAAUCGGAAUUACUGGGCGUAAAGCGUGCGCAGGCGGUUCUAUAAGACAGAUGUGAAAUCCCCGGGCUCAACCUGGGAACUGCAUUUGUGACUGUAGAGCUGGAGUACGGUAGAGGGGGAUGGAAUUCCGCGUGUAGCAGUGAAAUGCGUAGAUAUGCGGAGGAACACCGAUGGCGAAGGCAAUCCCCCGGACCUGUACUGACGCUCAUGCACGAAAGCGUGGGGAGCAAACAGG
This 253-nucleotide ribosomal RNA is filed under the name uncultured bacterium. RNAcentral describes it as "partial 16S ribosomal RNA". It matches the Rfam family "Bacterial small subunit ribosomal RNA", at positions 524 to 776 of the family's 1533-position model. The record is from RNAcentral.